UGUAGCUGGCGGUGUGCCUGC
RNAcentral lists this unclassified non-coding RNA (21 nucleotides) under Chlamydomonas reinhardtii. Its description in RNAcentral is "small RNA Cre_3522". The record is from RNAcentral. Lineage: Eukaryota; Viridiplantae; Chlorophyta; Chlorophyceae; Chlamydomonadales; Chlamydomonadaceae.